RNAcentral lists this ribosomal RNA (482 nucleotides) under uncultured bacterium. RNAcentral's name for it is "partial 16S ribosomal RNA". It matches the Rfam family "Bacterial small subunit ribosomal RNA", at positions 30 to 507 of the family's 1533-position model. The record is from RNAcentral.
AUUGAACGCUGGCGGCAUGCUUUACACAUGCAAGUCGAACGGUAACAGGCCGCAAGGUGCUGACGAGUGGCGAACGGGUGAGUAAUGCAUCGGAACGUGCCCAGCCGUGGUGGAUAACUACUCGAAAGAGUAGCUAAUACCGCAUACGAUCUAUGGAUGAAAGCGGGGGACCGUAAGGCCUCGCGCUGUUGGAGCGUCCGAUGUCAGAUUAGGUAGUUGGUGGGGUAAAGGCUCACCAAGCCAACCAUCUGUAGCUGGUCUGAGAGGACGACCAGCCACACGGGGACUGAGACACGGCCCAGACUCCUACGGGAGGCAGCAGUGGGGAAUUUUGGACAAUGGGCGCAAGCCUGAUCCAGCAAGGCCGCGUGGAGGAAGAAGGCCUUCGGGUUGUAAACUGCUUUUGUACGGAACGAAACGGCUCUGGUUAAUACCCGGGGCUAAUGACGGUACCGUAAGAAUAAGCACCGGCUAACUACGUG